Tupaia belangeri chinensis (Chinese tree shrew) is the source of this 731-nucleotide long non-coding RNA. RefSeq lists it as uncharacterized. The transcript is spliced from 3 exons. Lineage: Eukaryota; Metazoa; Chordata; Mammalia; Scandentia; Tupaiidae. The record is from RefSeq and is a predicted model, not a curated record.
GUAAGGUCUGUCUUCCUAAGACUGGAUAUUUACAACACAUGGUGAAGUACAGAGAGAAACAACAAAAGGGAAGGGAACGGUAAUUGAAUCAUUUUUUGAGAAAAAUGAAUGCUCAGCAGAAAACAUCCCAGACGAUUGAGAGGACUGUAGGCCAGAGAUGGCAAGAAGUAAGAAAAGCUUUUAAAGGAGAGAAGUGAAUACGGAACUAAAAUCAAGAGGACUGAGAGGGAACAGAUUGGGGUGGGUGGGGUGAGGAUCAGAGAAGAAUUCCAGAUCCAUUUGUGAAAGACACCAGGAGCUAAGCUUGUCUGUGGGGGAAAAAAAUAAAGAACGAACCCAAAUGAGGAAGAUCGGCAAAAAAAUCACUUUGGGAAGAAAGAUGGUGACAAGGUAGUGAGGACAAGGAGGCACAGCUGUCAUCUCAUUUAAUUCAGAAAUUAUUAAUGGGACGGAACAGCCACAGUGAGCCUUAACUGAUGAGAUGCUACUCAAAUUCUAGACAAUAGCAGUGGAAGACACACAAGUUACCGAGAGCCAAAGGGAUCUGGCAGCUGAUUCAAGGCAAACAUUACCACUAUCAGGAACCACAAAUAAACCCUGAGAAAAACCAUAAUGAAAGCGACGCAGGAACACGGCGUUCCUCAUGGAUCAGACACUACCUCUUCUGAUGAUAUCAUGGUUGUGGACCCAGAACCCUCCCAGGAGAUUCUAGUUAUAAAAUAAAACGCAAA